GACGAACGCUGGCGGCGUGCUUAACACAUGCAAGUCGAACGGAAAGGCCUGCUUUCCCUUGUGGAUUGCGGGUACUCGAGUGGCGAACGGGUGAGUAACACGUGAGUGAUCUGCCCCCAACUUGGGUAUAAGCCUGGGAAACUGGGUCUAAUUCCCGAUAGGACUGCAGGGUGGUGCCUGUGGGGAAAACGAUUUUCUAGUGGUUGGGGAUGAGCUCGCGGCCUAUCAGCUUGUUGGUGGGGUAAUGGCCUACCAAGGCGGCGACGGGUAGCCGGCCUGAGAGGGUGGACGGCCACAUUGGGACUGAGAUACGGCCCAGACUCCUACGGGAGGCAGCAGUGGGGAAUAUUGCACAAUGGGCGGAAGCCUGAUGCAGCGACGCCGCGUGGGGGAUGACGGCCUUCGGGUUGUAAACUCCUUUCGACCGCGAGGAAGCCACCUGGUUGGAAGGGCGGUGACGGUAGUGGUAGAAGAAGCACCGGCUAACUACGUG
Molecule: ribosomal RNA, 493 nt
Filed under: uncultured bacterium
Lineage: Bacteria
Description: partial 16S ribosomal RNA
Rfam family: Bacterial small subunit ribosomal RNA
Source: RNAcentral